RNAcentral lists this ribosomal RNA (253 nucleotides) under uncultured bacterium. RNAcentral's name for it is "partial 16S ribosomal RNA". It matches the Rfam family "Bacterial small subunit ribosomal RNA", at positions 524 to 776 of the family's 1533-position model. The record is from RNAcentral.
UACGUAGGCAGCGAGCGUUGUUCGGAAUUACUGGGCGUAAAGAGUGUGUAGGCGGUGCUCUAAGUUCGGUGUGAAAUCUCCCGGCUUAACUGGGAGGGUGCGCCGGAAACUGGAGUGCUCGAACGUGGGAGAGGAAAGCGGAAUUCCUGGUGUAGCGGUGAAAUGCGUAGAUACCAGGAGGAACACCUGCGGUGUAGACGGCUUUCUGGACCAUUGUUGACGCUGAGACACGAAAGCGUGGGUAGCAAACAGG